Molecule: long non-coding RNA, 590 nt
Organism: Malaclemys terrapin pileata
Lineage: Eukaryota; Metazoa; Chordata; Testudines; Emydidae
Exons: 3
Source: RefSeq, a predicted model, not a curated record
GGGAAAGCAGCAGUUGAAGAAACAAGAUUGAAGAACUGCAAAGGAAUUUCCCAUAAGUGACACCACUGCAGUUGCUGCCCCAACACUACUCUCCAACCACUGUUGAAGAAACUACAUCUGCUUUACCAUAUCCCUCCUAUGGAAGCACAACUAUGGAAUAUUUUGCAUGACUGAACCACAUAAACAUCAGUUCUGCUGCCCAUAGAGUCUUCAUGAACAGAGAGUGGAGUGGAAUUUGGCAGCUAAACUCUCUGAAGAUUCCAUCUGAGCAUACUCCAUCCCCAUCACAGCUCCUAUGUGCUCACUGAACUGCAUGUGUGCCAUCUGUACAGAGUGACCGAGCAUAUUCCAUCCAAGAACUACCGGUCUCAGGAACUGCUGGGAGCUGCUGUGGCACCAGACACUAGAAUGGAUAGCAGGGGGACUGUGUCUCUUAUGUGCUUUCAGUGCUCCACCUGCUGGUGCCUAGGCAAGGAGGAGGAGGAGUUAAAUGAUUUGAAUGCAGAGGGAUGAGUAACAGGAGUGGGGAUAGAGGAAAGAGAUGCCAAGUUGGGAGAGAGGGGCAGGAUCUCAGAAAGGAGAGGAGAAAG